AGUGAACGCUGGCGGUAGGCCUAACACAUGCAAGUCGAACGGCGGCACAGGAGAGCUUGCUCUCUGGGUGGCGAGUGGCGGACGGGUGAGGAAUACAUCGGAAUCUACUCUGUCGUGGGGGAUAACGUAGGGAAACUUACGCUAAUACUGCAUACGACCUAUGGGUGAAAGCAGGGGAUCUUCGGACCUUGCGGGAUUGAAUGAGCCGAGGUCGGAUUAGCUAGUUGGCGGGGUAAAGGCCCACCAAGGCGACGAUCCGUAGCUGGUCUGAGAGGAUGAUCAGCCACACUGGAACUGAGACACGGUCCAGACUCCUACGGGAGGCAGCAGUGGGGAAUAUUGGACAAUGGGCGCAAGCCUGAUCCAGCCAUACCGCGUGGGUGAAGAAGGCCUUCGGGUUGUAAAGCCCUUUUGUUGGGAAAGAAAUCCAGCUGGCUAAUACCCGGUUGGGAUGACGGUACCCAAAGAAUAAGCACCGGCUAACUUCGUGCCAGCAGCCGCCGUAA
RNAcentral lists this ribosomal RNA (506 nucleotides) under uncultured bacterium. RNAcentral's name for it is "partial 16S ribosomal RNA". It matches the Rfam family "Bacterial small subunit ribosomal RNA", at positions 29 to 523 of the family's 1533-position model. The record is from RNAcentral.